RNAcentral lists this ribosomal RNA (558 nucleotides) under uncultured archaeon. RNAcentral describes it as "bacterial SSU rRNA". It matches the Rfam family "Archaeal small subunit ribosomal RNA", at positions 202 to 761 of the family's 1478-position model. The record is from RNAcentral.
CCCAAGGACAAAGCCGCGACCGAUCAGGCUGUUGGUAGGGCAACGGCCUACCAAACCUAUAACCGGUACGGGCCGUGAGAGCGGAAGCCCGGAGAUGGAUACUGAGACAAGGAUCCAGGCCCUACGGGGCGCAGCAGUUGCGAAAACUCCACAAUGCACGAAAGUGUGAUGGGGCUACCCCGAGUGCCGUCCGCUGAGGAUGGCUUUUUUCUCAGUGUAAGGAACUGGGAGAAUAAAGGGGGGGCAAGUCUGGUGUCAGCCGCCGCGGUAAUACCAGCCCCCUGAGUGGUAUGGACGAUUAUUUGGCCUAAAGCGUCCGUAGCCGGCUCAGUAAGUCCUUCGUUAAAUCUAACGAUUCAAUCGUUAGACCGCGGAGGAUACUGCUAGGCUAGAGGAUGGGAGAGGUUGACGGUAGUCCUGGGGUAGGGGUGAAAUCCUAUAAUCCCAGGAGGACCACCAGUGGCGAAGGCGGUCGACUAGAACAUGCCUGACGGUGAUGGACGAAAGCUGGGGGAGCGAACCGGAUUAGACACCCGGGUAGUCCCAGCUGUAAACGAU